CUGCAUUCACUAAUAGACUGGGAACAGUUUGUGGUUCUUUUGGUUUGCACUAGGAUGCAAAAGGAAAGAAUCCCUGUGCUUUCUGCCUAUCUUUGUAGCAGCUCAGAUUGAACUAGGGAACACAUCA
Molecule: small nucleolar RNA, 127 nt
Organism: Jaculus jaculus (lesser Egyptian jerboa)
Lineage: Eukaryota; Metazoa; Chordata; Mammalia; Rodentia; Dipodidae
Source: Ensembl